RNAcentral lists this small nuclear RNA (36 nucleotides) under Cervus elaphus hippelaphus. Lineage: Eukaryota; Metazoa; Chordata; Mammalia; Artiodactyla; Cervidae. The record is from RNAcentral.
GUGCUAGUGAGGGGUUUGAGUUGCUGCUCUCUCCUG